AUCUACGGCCAUACCACCCUGAAUGCGCCCGAUCUCGUCUGAUCUCGGAAGCUAAGCAGGGUCGGGCCUGGUUAGUACUUGGAUAGGAUCCUCAGUAGUCAUCCUGUUUCUAAGUC
Molecule: ribosomal RNA, 116 nt
Filed under: Tursiops truncatus (common bottlenose dolphin)
Lineage: Eukaryota; Metazoa; Chordata; Mammalia; Artiodactyla; Delphinidae
Source: RNAcentral